UACAGAGGUGGCAAACGUUGUUCGGAAUUACUGGGCGUAAAGGGUGCGUAGGCGGGCCUUUAAGUCAGGGGUGAAAUCCGGGAGCUCAACUCCAGAACUGCCUUUGAUACUGAAGAUCUUGAGUUCGGGAGAGGUGAGUGGAACUGCGAGUGUAGAGGUGAAAUUCGUAGAUAUUCGCAAGAACACCAGUGGCGAAGGCGGCUCACUGGCCCGAUACUGACGCUGAGGCACGAAAGCGUGGGGAACAAACAGG
This 253-nucleotide ribosomal RNA is filed under the name uncultured bacterium. Its description in RNAcentral is "partial 16S ribosomal RNA". It matches the Rfam family "Bacterial small subunit ribosomal RNA", at positions 524 to 776 of the family's 1533-position model. The record is from RNAcentral.